UAAAUUGCAAAAUUUCCACAUUUUGCACCAAGUGUCCUUCGGCUUGCUCAGGAGUUAAGGAUCGUGAAGAUCUACCCGCACUAUCAUACUUUAGGGUAUUUGAACUAAACGUUUUGAAUUAUGGCAUGUAUAGUAGGCUUAAUUAUUUUGUUACGUGUCAUAUUUGUCUAGGUUUAAAAUAUUAGUUACUGAUUUUCGACCAGCUACUUUGUACAAGCCAUUAAAGUUGGCUAAUAUUGUUCAAGACAUAUAUUAUACGAUGCACUAUCAAAUUGGAUGACAAA
This is a long non-coding RNA of Gossypium arboreum, 284 nucleotides long. RefSeq lists it as uncharacterized. NCBI's taxonomy places the organism in Eukaryota, Viridiplantae, Streptophyta, Magnoliopsida, Malvales, Malvaceae. The transcript has 2 exons. The record is from RefSeq and is a predicted model, not a curated record.